UUGACCUCGGAUCAGGUAGGGAUACCCGCUGAACUUAAGCAUAUCAAUAAGCGGAGGAAAAGAAACCAACAGGGAUUGCCCUAGUAACGGCGAGUGAAGCGGCAACAGCUCAAAUUUGAAAUCUGGCGCAAGCCCGAGUUGUAAUUUGUAGAGGAUGCUUCAGGGCAGCGGCCGGUCUAAGUUCCUUGGAACAGGACGUCAUAGAGGGUGAGAAUCCCGUAUGCGACCGGUUGGCACCCGUCACGUAGCUCCUUCGACGAGUCGAGUUGUUUGGGAAUGCAGCUCUAAAUGGGAGGUAAAUUUCUUCUAAAGCUAAAUACCGGCCAGAGACCGAUAGCGCACAAGUAGAGUGAUCGAAAGAUGAAAAGCACUUUGGAAAGAGAGUUAAAAAGCACGUGAAAUUGUUGAAAGGGAAGCGCAUGCAACCAGACUUGUCGGCGGUGUUCCGCCGGUCUUCUGACCGGUCUACUCGCCGCCGGCAGGCCAGCAUCAUCUGGGCGCGCCGGAUAAAGGCGCGGGGAAUGUGGCUCCUCGGAGCGUUAUAGCCCCGCGCACAAUACGGCGCCGCUCGGGUGAGGUCCGCGCUUCGGCUAGGAUGCUGGCGUAAUGGUUGUCUGCGGCCCGUCUUGAAACACGGACCAAGGAGUCUAACAUCUAUGCGAGUGUUCGGGUGUCAAACCCCUACGCGUAAUGAAAGUGAACGGAGGUGGGAAGCGCAAGCUGCACCAUCGACCGAUCCUGAUGUCUUCGGAUGGAUUUGAGUAAGAGCAUAGCUGUUGGGACCCGAAAGAUGGUGAACUAUGCCUGAAUAGGGUGAAGCCAGAGGAAACUCUGGUGGAGGCUCGCAGCGGUUCUGACGUGCAAAUCGAUCGUCAAAUUUGGGUAUAGGGGCGAAAGACUAAUCGAAC
Molecule: ribosomal RNA, 908 nt
Filed under: Teratosphaeria zuluensis
Lineage: Eukaryota; Fungi; Ascomycota; Dothideomycetes; Mycosphaerellales; Teratosphaeriaceae
Description: eukaryotic LSU rRNA
Rfam family: Eukaryotic large subunit ribosomal RNA
Source: RNAcentral